Molecule: ribosomal RNA, 503 nt
Filed under: uncultured bacterium
Lineage: Bacteria
Description: partial 16S ribosomal RNA
Rfam family: Bacterial small subunit ribosomal RNA
Source: RNAcentral
AUUGAACGCUGGCGGCAGGCUUAACACAUGCAAGUCGAGCGGAGUGAUGGUGCUUGCACUAUCACUUAGCGGCGGACGGGUGAGUAAUGCUUAGGAAUCUGCCUAUUAGUGGGGGACAACAUCUCGAAAGGGAUGCUAAUACCGCAUACGUCCUACGGGAGAAAGCAGGGGAUCACUUGUGACCUUGCGCUAAUAGAUGAGCCUAGGUCGGAUUAGCUAGUUGGUGGGGUAAAGGCCUCCCAAGGCGACGAUCUGUAGCGGGUCUGAGAGGAGGAUCCGCCAAACUGGGACUGAGACACGGCCCAGACUCCUACGGGAGGGAGCAGUGGGGAAUAUUGGACAAUGGGGGGAACCCUGAUCCAGCCAUGCCGCGUGUGUGAAGAAGGCCUUAUGGUUGUAAAGCACUUUAAGCGAGGAGGAGGCUCUUUUGGUUAAUACCCAAGAUGAGUGGACGUUACUCGCAGAAUAAGCACCGGCUAACUCUGUGCCAGCCGCCGCGGUAA